CACCUCUCCGGUGGCCUAGUGGUUAGAGCGUCCGCCUCGGAUGCGGGAGGUCGUGGGUUCGAUCCCCGGUCGAGUGA
Non-coding RNA from Potamilus streckersoni, 77 nucleotides. The record is from the annotation of a GenBank genome assembly. NCBI's taxonomy places the organism in Eukaryota, Metazoa, Mollusca, Bivalvia, Unionida, Unionidae.